CGGUGAAGCAAGCUUGCUUGGUGGAUCAGUGGCGAACGGGUGAGUAACACGUGAGCAACCUGCCCUGGACUCUGGGAUAAGCGCUUGAAACGGCGUCUAAUACUGGAUAUGAGCUCCUAUCGCAUGGUGGGGGUUGGAAAGAUUUUUCGGUCUGGGAUGGGCUCGCGGCCUAUCAGCUUGUUGGUGAGGUAAUGGCUCACCAAGGCGUCGACGGGUAGCCGGCCUGAGAGGGUGACCGGCCACACUGGGACUGAGACACGCCCCAGACUCCUACGGGAGGCAGCAGUGGGGAAUAUUGCACAAUGGGCGGAAGCCUGAUGCAGCAACGCCGCGUGAGGGAUGACGGCCUUCGGGUUGUAAACCUCUUUUAGCAGGGAAGAAGCGAGAGUGACGGUACCUGCAGAAAAAGCGCCGGCUAACUACGUGCCAGCAGCCGCGGUAAUACGUAGGGCGCAAGCGUUAUCCGGAAUUAUUGGGCGUAAAGAGCUCGUAGGCGGUUUGUCGCGUCUGCUGUGAAAUCCCGAGGCUCAACCUCGGGCCUGCAGUGGGUACGGGCAGACUAGAGUGCGGUAGGGGAGAUUGGAAUUCCUGGUGUAGCGGUGGAAUGCGCAGAUAUCAGGAGGAACACCGAUGGCGAAGGCAGAUCUCUGGGCCGUAACUGACGCUGAGGAGCGAAAGGGUGGGGAGCAAACAGGCUUAGAUACCCUGGUAGUCCACCCCGUAAACGUUGGGAACUAGUUGUGGGGACCAUUCCACGGUUUCCGUGACGCAGCUAACGCAUUAAGUUCCCCGCCUGGGGAGUACGGCCGCAAGGCUAAAACUCAAAGGAAUUGACGGGGACCCGCACAAGCGGCGGAGCAUGCGGAUUAAUUCGAUGCAACGCGAAGAACCUUACCAAGGCUUGACAUAUACGAGAACGGGCCAGAAAUGGUCAACUCUUUGGACACUCGUAAACAGGUGGUGCAUGGUUGUCGUCAGCUCGUGUCCUGAGAUGUUGGGGUUAAGUCCCGCAACGAGCGCAACCCUCGUUCUAUGUUGCCAGCACGUAAUGGGGGGGAACUCAUGGGAUAAUUGCCGGGGUCAACUCCGAAGAAGGGGGGGGAGGACGUCCAAAUCAUCAUGCCCCUUAUGUCUUGGGCUUCACGCAUGCUACAAUGGCCGGUACAAAGGGCUGCAAUACCGUGAGGUGGAGCGAAUCCCAAAAAGCCGGUCCCAGUUCGGAUUGAGGUCUGCAACUCGACCUCAUGAAGUCGGAGUCGCUAGUAAUCGCAGAUCAGCAACGCUGCGGUGAAUACGUUCCCGGGUCUUGUACACACCGCCCGUCAAGUCAUGAAAGUCGGUAACACCUGAAGCCGGUGGCCCAACCCUGUGG
RNAcentral lists this ribosomal RNA (1372 nucleotides) under Microbacterium testaceum. RNAcentral's name for it is "bacterial SSU rRNA". It matches the Rfam family "Bacterial small subunit ribosomal RNA". Lineage: Bacteria; Bacillati; Actinomycetota; Actinomycetes; Micrococcales; Microbacteriaceae. The record is from RNAcentral.